This 201-nucleotide long non-coding RNA is filed under the name Panax ginseng (ginseng). RNAcentral describes it as "long non-coding RNA (PGIN_LNC001927)". The record is from RNAcentral. Lineage: Eukaryota; Viridiplantae; Streptophyta; Magnoliopsida; Apiales; Araliaceae.
UGUUUAACUAAAAAUAAUCUAUUCAACCCCCUUCUAGAUUAUUAUUGACCUUUCACCUUCUCUUUACCCUUGUCCUUGCCCGAGAGUUCACCCCGUUCUGCCUUAACUGAAAGUUUUAAGGAAAGCAAGGAUGAGCAAUAAUUUUGCCCAGCAAGUAAUAUCGUAAUAAGGAAAAAGCUUAUAUAUGGUUCAAUCUUCAAG